This 253-nucleotide ribosomal RNA is filed under the name uncultured bacterium. Its description in RNAcentral is "partial 16S ribosomal RNA". It matches the Rfam family "Bacterial small subunit ribosomal RNA", at positions 524 to 776 of the family's 1533-position model. The record is from RNAcentral.
UACGUAGGGUGCGAGCGUUGUCCGGAAUUAUUGGGCGUAAAGAGCUUGUAGGUGGUUUGUCGCGUCUGCUGUGAAAAUCCGAGGCUCAACCUCGGACUUGCAGUGGGUACGGGCAGACUAGAGUGUGGUAGGGAGACUGGAAUUCCUGGUGUAGCGGUGAAAUGCGCAGAUAUCAGGAGGAACACCGGUGGCGAAGGCGGGUCUCUGGGUAGUAACUGACGCUGGAGGAGCGAAAGCGUGGGGAGCGAACAGG